GCGGAAGUGGCGGAAUUGGCAGACGCACCAGACUUAGGAUCUGGCGCCUUACGGCGUGGGGGUUCAAGUCCCUUCUUCCGCACCA
RNAcentral lists this transfer RNA (85 nucleotides) under Veillonella magna. RNAcentral describes it as "tRNA-Leu". It matches the Rfam family "tRNA". Rfam says of the family: Transfer RNA (tRNA) molecules are approximately 80 nucleotides in length. Their secondary structure includes four short double-helical elements and three loops (D, anti-codon, and T loops). Lineage: Bacteria; Bacillati; Bacillota; Negativicutes; Veillonellales; Veillonellaceae. The record is from RNAcentral.